Molecule: ribosomal RNA, 432 nt
Filed under: uncultured bacterium
Lineage: Bacteria
Description: partial 16S ribosomal RNA
Rfam family: Bacterial small subunit ribosomal RNA
Source: RNAcentral
AACGAACGCUGGCGGCAUGCCUAACACAUGCAAGUCGAACGAGACCUUCGGGUCUAGUGGCGCACGGGUGCGUAACGCGUGGGAACCUGCCCUUAGGUUCGGAAUAACUCCCCGAAAGGGGUGCUAAUACCGGAUAAUGUCUUCGGACCAAAGAUUUAUCGCCUUUGGAUGGGCCCGCGUUGGAUUAGCUAGUUGGUAGGGUAAAAGCCUACCAAGGCGACGAUCCAUAGCUGGUCUGAGAGGAUGAUCAGCCACACUGGGACUGAGACACGGCCCAGACUCCUACGGGAGGCAGCAGCGGGGAAUAUUUGACAAUGGGCGAAAGCCUGAUCCAGCAAUGCCGCGUGAGUGAUGAAGGCCUUAGGGUUGUAAAGCUCUUUUACCCGGGAUGAUAAUGACAGGACCGGGAGAAUAAGCUCCGGCUAACUCCGU